GCACAAGCGGUGGAUGAUGUGGUUAAUUCGAUGCAACGCGAAAACCUUACCCACCUUUGACAUGGCAGGAAUCCCGAAGAGAUUUGGGAGUGCUCGAAAGAGAACCUGCACACAGGUGCUGCAUGGCUGUCGUCAGCUCGUGUCGUGAGAUGUUGGGUUAAGUCCCGCAACGAGCGCAACCCUUGCCAUUAGUUGCUACGAAAGGGCACUCUAAUGGGACUGCCGGUGUCAAACCGGAGGAAGGUGGGAUGACGUCAAGUCCUCAUGGCCCUUAUGACCAGGGCUACACACGUGCUACAAUGGCCGGUACAAUAGGUUGCGAAGCCGCGAGGCGGAGCCAAUCCUCAAAGCCGGCCCCAGUUCAGAUUGCAGGCUGCAACCCGCCUGCAUGAAGAUGGAGUUGCUAGUAACCGCAGGUCAGCUAUACUGCGGUGAAUACGUUCCCGGGGCUU
This 452-nucleotide ribosomal RNA is filed under the name uncultured Hydrogenophaga sp. RNAcentral describes it as "bacterial SSU rRNA". It matches the Rfam family "Bacterial small subunit ribosomal RNA", at positions 923 to 1382 of the family's 1533-position model. Lineage: Bacteria; Pseudomonadati; Pseudomonadota; Betaproteobacteria; Burkholderiales; Comamonadaceae. The record is from RNAcentral.